CCCCAGGAGAGUUCUGCCUCUCUCCUGCCUGCAGCCAUAUGGGCUGUGGAUGGGAUGUGGAAUCCUAGAGCUGUCCCAUGGAGACCCUGAGAUGAAUUGUAGCCUCAGGGGUUGUGGGGAGGCUGUGAGCAGGAGGUGCUGGGGAGCGCAGUGGCACCCGAUGGCUUUGCCAUGCCAUCUUGUGGCCAUGGGGUGCUGUGAGAUGAGGGAGAGCAGGAAGGAGGCAAGAAAAACAGGUCUGGCAACGACCUUGCAGGCACAUUCCUGCCCUGGGAGUUUCCCUCUGCACUGUUGGUAUUUCCGUGGACGUGGUCACCUGUGCUGCUCAGCUGCCAGCCUCGCCUGGGGUGGAUGCUCUGGGGAUGGGUGCAUUCAGGGCACAAAUACUUCACUGGGACUGCACUUAUCAAUGGCCAGGGAUAAUUACAGCAGUGACAACGGAUUAUUCACAACUGCCCAUGGAGGAUGAGUGAACAUUGUUGCUGACACCAGCCAGAGGAGCAGAGGAAGAGGCUGCACGGAGGAAGAGCAUCGCCCUGGCAGCAGCUGCCAGUUCCAACACCAGAGGUUCAAACUGGUUCUGAUGUGUGCUGCUUGCGGAGGGAAGCACUUGGGAGCCUUCAUCACCCUACUCCCACCUGCUGCAGCAGGACCAAAGGUGCAAAACCUGAAUUGCAUUGAAAUUGCAGCCCGUCAUCAGCAUUGGCACACCACCCUCCACCUCCCGCCCCGCUGUCCUUCCAACAGCCUCAAAGGCAGGGCUGCAGAGCAGAGAUGUGCUGGACGUAGGCAGACCUCUGAGCUAUGAGACUGUCCUGCUCCUCCCACGCCGGUCUGCCCACAUUGCUGCCCUGCUGCAACCUCUCCUUGUGGUGUGUGUGUUUCACACGGGUUACACAACAUCGAAAGCAAACAGAGCUGUACACAGGUGUAUUUCCGUGUAACCGCUUCACGCAUUGAGUGGGCUGUAAGCAGAUGCCAAAUGGGAAGAGCUCCCAGCCCUCCCAGCACACAGGUCCCAUAAAUUUCCCCAUCCUUCAGGGAAGCGCAAUUAGGAUCCGGAUAUUGGGGUGAAUCAGAACACACCGAAAUUUAAAUGGAAAAACAAUUAAUCUGUGCAAUAUAUGCUGAAUAUCACCAGCUCCUGGGGUCCUGGUGCCCUUUGCCUGCCUUCAGCUUUGCAAAAGGUCUGCAAAGGCCUUCCCAGAGCAGCAGAUCUCAGCAUCUGUGCUGGUCUGCAUCUUCUCACACCUAACAGGCGGCACUCAGUGCCAG
RNAcentral lists this long non-coding RNA (1275 nucleotides) under Phasianus colchicus (ring-necked pheasant). RNAcentral's name for it is "lncRNA (ENSPCLG00000014760.1)". Lineage: Eukaryota; Metazoa; Chordata; Aves; Galliformes; Phasianidae. The record is from RNAcentral.